AUUGAACGCUGGCGGCAGGCCUAACACAUGCAAGUCGAGCGGAUGAAGGGAGCUUGCUCCUGGAUUCAGCGGCGGACGGGUGAGUAAUGCCUAGGAAUCUGCCUGGUAGUGGGGGAUAACGUCCGGAAACGGGCGCUAAUACCGCAUACGUCCUGAGGGAGAAAGUGGGGGAUCUUCGGAACUCACGCUAUCAGAUGAGCCUAGGUCGGAUUAGCUAGUUGGUUGGGUAAGGGCCUACCAAGGCGACGAUCCGUAACUGGUCUGAGAGGAUGAUCAGUCACACUGGAACUGAGACACGGUCCAGACGCCUACGGGAGGCAGCAGUGGGGAAUAUUGGACAAUGGGCGAAAGCCUGAUCCAGCCAUGCCGCGUGUGUGAAGAAGGUCUUCGGAUUGUAAAGCACUUUAAGUUGGGAGGAAGGGCAGUAAGUUAAGACCUUGCUGUUUUGACGUUACCAACAGAAUAAGCACCGGCUAACUUCGUG
RNAcentral lists this ribosomal RNA (484 nucleotides) under uncultured bacterium. RNAcentral's name for it is "partial 16S ribosomal RNA". It matches the Rfam family "Bacterial small subunit ribosomal RNA", at positions 30 to 507 of the family's 1533-position model. The record is from RNAcentral.